RNAcentral lists this ribosomal RNA (380 nucleotides) under uncultured eukaryote. RNAcentral describes it as "partial 18S ribosomal RNA". It matches the Rfam family "Eukaryotic small subunit ribosomal RNA", at positions 592 to 976 of the family's 1831-position model. The record is from RNAcentral.
CAAUAGCGUAUAUUAAAGUUGUUGCGGUUAAAAAGCUCGUAGUUGGAUUUCUGCUGAGGACGACCGGUCCGCCCUUCGGGUGAGUAUCUGGUUUGGCCUUGGCAUCUUCUUGGUGAACGUAUCUGCACUUGACUGUGUGGUGCGGUACCCAGGACUUUUACUUUGAGGAAAUUAGAGUGUUUCAAGCAGGCAUACGCCUUGAAUACAUUAGCAUGGAAUAAUAAGAUAGGACCUCGGUUCUAUUUUGUUGGUUUCUAGAGCUGAGGUAAUGAUUAAUAGGGAUAGUUGGGGGCAUUCGUAUUUAACUGUCUGAGGUGAAAUUCUUGGAUUUGUUAAAGACGGACUACUGCGAAAGCAUUUGCCAAGGAUGUUUUCAUUGA